RNAcentral lists this ribosomal RNA (445 nucleotides) under uncultured bacterium. RNAcentral describes it as "partial 16S ribosomal RNA". It matches the Rfam family "Bacterial small subunit ribosomal RNA", at positions 354 to 796 of the family's 1533-position model. The record is from RNAcentral.
GUGAGGAAUAUUGGACAAUGGGCGCAAGCCUGAUCCAGCCAUGCCGCGUGCAGGAAGACGCAUCUAUGGUGUGUAAACUGCUUUUGUACGGGAAGAAACACUCCCUCGUGAGGGAGCUUGACGGUACCGUAAGAAUAAGGAUCGGCUAACUCCGUGCCAGCAGCCGCGGUAAUACGGAGGAUCCAAGCGUUAUCCGGAAUCAUUGGGUUUAAAGGGUCCGUAGGCGGUUUAAUAAGUCAGUGGUGAAAGCCCAUCGCUCAACGAUGGAACGGCCAUUGAUACUGUUAGACUUGAAUUACAAGGAAGUAACUAGAAUAUGUAGUGUAGCGGUGAAAUGCUUAGAUAUUACAUGGAAUACCAAUUGCGAAGGCAGGUUACUACUUGUGGAUUGACGCUGAUGGACGAAAGCGUGGGGAGCAAACAGGAUUAGAUACCCUAGUAGUCC